ACGAGAAAGUGGAGCAAUCCAUGAGUAAAGUGGCGACCGGGUGAGUAACACGUAGCUAACCUACCCUCGAGUGGGGGAUAACCUGGGGAAACCUGGGCUAAUACCGCAUAAGAUCCCGACGGCGUCAGCCGUUGGGAGCAAAGGCCCGCAAGGGCCGCUGGAGGAGGGGGCUGCGGCCGAUUAGCUAGUUGGUGAGGUAACGGCCCACCAAGGCGAUGAUCGGUAGCCGGCCUGAGAGGGCGCACGGCCACACUGGCACUGACACACGGGCCAGACUCCUACGGGAGGCAGCAGUGGGGAAUUUUGCACAAUGCCCGCAAGGGUGGUGCAGCAACGCCGCGUGAGGGAUGAAGGCCUUCGGG
This 362-nucleotide ribosomal RNA is filed under the name uncultured bacterium. RNAcentral describes it as "bacterial SSU rRNA". It matches the Rfam family "Bacterial small subunit ribosomal RNA", at positions 66 to 422 of the family's 1533-position model. The record is from RNAcentral.